Molecule: ribosomal RNA, 501 nt
Filed under: uncultured bacterium
Lineage: Bacteria
Description: partial 16S ribosomal RNA
Rfam family: Bacterial small subunit ribosomal RNA
Source: RNAcentral
AUUGAACGCUGGCGGCAGGCUUAACACAUGCAAGUCGAGCGGGGGAAGGUAGCUUGCUACCGGACCUAGCGGCGGACGGGUGAGUAAUGCUUAGGAAUCUGCCUAUUAGUGGGGGACAACAUCUCGAAAGGGAUGCUAAUACCGCAUACGUCCCACGGGAGAAAGCAGGGGAACUUCGGACCUUGCGCUAAUAGACGAGCCUAAGUCGGAUUAGCUAGUUGGUGGGGUAAAGGCCUACCAAGGCGACGAUCUGUAGCGGGUCUGAGAGGAUGAUCCGCCACACUGGGACUGAGACACGGCCCAGACUCCUACGGGAGGCAGCAGUGGGGAAUAUUGGACAAUGGGGGGAACCCUGAUCCAGCCAUGCCGCGUGUGUGAAGAAGGCCUUAUGGUUGUAAAGCACUUUAAGCGAGGAGGAGGCUACUUUAGUUAAUACCUAGAGAUAGUGGACGUUACUCGCAGAAUAAGCACCGGCUAACUCUGUGCCAGCCGCCGCGGUAA